Anopheles stephensi (Asian malaria mosquito) is the source of this 478-nucleotide long non-coding RNA. RefSeq lists it as uncharacterized. The record is from RefSeq and is a predicted model, not a curated record. The transcript has 2 exons. NCBI's taxonomy places the organism in Eukaryota, Metazoa, Arthropoda, Insecta, Diptera, Culicidae.
AAGUCGAUUUAAAUGGCUCAGAGCAGUAUGCGAGACAACAUCGUGCCGGGGGAGAGCACGUGAGUUCUGUGUGGUAGACGGCGACGGCGACGACGACGACGAUUCACACCUCGUCUUCUACACUAAAACUGGCCAGCUCACACAGGUGUGCCAGGGAUGGGAGUGGAAAAAAGAAAGGGAAGAAAAAGCUCUUGGAGAGUUAUGGCAGCAGUAGUAGGUAGUCCGGAAGAAGUUACGCUAGUGAGCUGUCGUUCCCAUGAUGUGCGAAGACAUAUCAUGCAAAUCCACAUCGUAUGCCUUCUUCACCUGAAAAUCAUUUUCCUUACUAUUCGAGAAUACGUCACACACAGCACGAGGCCCAACAGGAGGAGCAAGAGGAAGAAGCGAAAGCGAGAGAGUUAGAGAAUGUUUGUAUGUGUGUAGGGGCACAACGAAUAAUAAAACAACCCCCUACAAUGUAGUGUCAUUGCAACCUUAA